This 6306-nucleotide long non-coding RNA is filed under the name Brassica napus (rape). Its description in RNAcentral is "long non-coding RNA (BNAP_LNC020876)". Lineage: Eukaryota; Viridiplantae; Streptophyta; Magnoliopsida; Brassicales; Brassicaceae. The record is from RNAcentral.
AGGAGAGGCAUUAGGCAAGAAGAAUUGGGUGAGAAUCUCGAUAGGAGUAGAGAGAUCAAUGCUAGAAGACGCUUUCGCGAGGCUCAAAAGCUUCGUCGCUCGCCAUGUCAAAUCACAAACCACAUAAGAUCAGCUUCAUUGUCGGAAACCUGAGACCCUAUCUUUCUACUGUUUUUGUAUUUCUCUAUUAAAUAAUUUCUCAAUAAAGAUUGAGACUUUGGAUUAUUGUCUGUGUGUGUGUGUGGGCGCGUAUGUGUAAGCAGCUAUGCUUGUCCAGUUCUCCGUUAGAAUGUCGUUUUAAUUAGUCGAGUCGAGUCAAAACAUGAUGGCGCGAGCUUAAUUACCAUCUUGGGUUUUAUGUAUGACGAGUUGGAAAUAAAUAUAAUAUUUGACGAUUAAACCUUUUACUCCUUCAAAAUAUUUUUAUGAGUUAACACAUAUUAAAUGAAUUUAAGUAUUUAUAACUAAUUAUAUUAUACUCCUUCCCUUCGUUUCAAUUUAGUUCUUUUUGUAAAGUAAUUUUUUUUAUUUCAAAAUAAUACUGUUUUAUAAAUUCAAAACAAAAUUAUUAAUUUUAUAUUUUAAUCUAUUUUAUAUUGGUUAAAAUGUGGUUAUAUGUAUUAGUAGUAAUGUUUUUAUUUAGUAAAUAUACAAAAUUAAAUGUUUUACUAAUUUGAAUGCAAAGUUUAAAAUGACAAUUAAAACGAAACGUAAGAAAUAUUAACAAAUAAUACACAGUUUUUAAUACAUAUCGAUCAACAAAAUUAAAUUAAAUUAGAUUUUAAUGUAAAGUAUAUAAUUCAUUAAUAUAAAUUAAUAAAAUAUUUUACUUUUGUGAAACAAUAAAAAAGUUAAAAAAAAAUUACUUUAAUAAGUUGUAAAGUAGGUGAUAAAUAAAUAUCAAACCACAACAGGACACGUGACAGGUCCAUCAUACACCGCAAAGCAGUUGAUAAACACUCUCGUCCAUCUUGGGAGAAAGGGAAGGCAUCGUCGUCGUCUCUCUUUAUAAACCCUAAAAAGUACAUCGAUUCCUCCAUUAGGGCGAACGCGAAAUCUAAAAUUAGAGAGCGAUGGCGAGUACAGCAGCUGCGACGGGAACGACGACGGCGAAGAGAAAACCUGUGUUUGUGAAGGUUGAGCAGCUGAAGCCUGGAACGACCGGUCACACAUUGACUGUCAAGGUCGUUGACGCCAAUCCUGUGGUUCCGGCUGCGAGGAAGGCUCGUCCGGGGAGUUCUAUGGGUCGUCCGUCUCAGCCGAGUCGAAUCGCUGAGUGUCUCAUCGGAGACGAAACCGGGUGUAUUCUCUUCACUGCUCGUAACGAUCAAGGUUACUCACACUCCUAGUCUUUUUCUUACAUGAUGUGGAAAUGGUAUUUGUCUUAUUGAUAAAGUCUGAUCCUUUAGGUUCUUUAAUGCACAUCUGUCAAUGUUUAGACUUGUAAGAUAAAACAGGUGAUGUGUCUUGUGUUGAUUUUUGGACAUAUAUUGCAAAAAGCUGUCAUCUUGUCUGAAAAUCUGCACAAGACUAGUGUUUUGUCUUUCGUCUUUGCUGAUUAAGUGAUGUCUUUGUGCAAUUUAAGAGGCUUUGAGGUUUCUCUGUAAUAUCAUCUUGCUUGGUCAGAUGUUGAGUUAGAUGUUAUAACAUGACUCCAAGACUUACAUAGCUUUUCCUGUAAAAAAAGUUUGUUUUUGUGCCAGUUAUUGUGGAAUCCCUGUGGCUUAGUGAUUAGAUUGAUUUCUUUCUUUUGUUUGUUUGUGUGUAUAGUUGAUCUUAUGAAGCCGGGGGAAACAGUGAUAGUGCGCAAUUCGAGGAUAGACAUGUUCAAGGGUACAAUGAGGCUAGGGGUUGAUAAAUGGGGACGCAUCGAAGCCACUGAGCCUGCUUCUUUCACAGUCAAAGAGGAUAACAAUCUGUCUCUUGUUGAAUACGAACUGAUUAACGUUACUGAUCAGUGAAUGUCGUUUAGUAUCUUUACAAUGAGGCUAGUAUUUGGUUCUGAUUCUUCUAUCGUUAAUGUCUUUUGAUUUAGAUGAUGAAGCUUUUGUAUUACUGGUUCAGAUAUGCUUUCUUUUUUUUACCUUAAAACAUGAUCCCAGAAUCUCGCUUAUUGAUCGAGGCAAUGGCAAUGGUAUUGUUCCCUUGAAUCUGUUGAUGUUGUGUUAAAAACCAUUGAGAGCUUUCUAAUGCUCCCCAAUCUUUGAAGUCAAACAAAGAACUUCACGAAAGAGAUAUGAACCUGAAAUGGGCAUAACUUAUAAUAGCAUAGAGAGUCUUACAACACAGCAAAAAUGUUCCACGUUCCUAUCACAAGCCCCUCGUGUUUCAAUACCAACAAAGGAAACAAGAACAAAACGAGAUAGAAAACUAGACUCACUCCACUUCUUUGAUGAUCCUUCUUGUCCGAUGAGAUUCAGUGACAACUGUUCCUGGGGCACUAUGAGCUUUCCUACGCUCAUCUUUCCUUCUCUUCGCAUCGUUCAUAGCUCUGCUUUCCGCUUUUGCUUUGUAUAUAGGUUUCGGCAAGUGCCUGUGUCUGUAAUUUCACAUCAACCAAAAACGUUAAUGUUUUAGUCUUUUGACAAAAUCUCCAAAGUUGGAAGCCAUUUUUAUCUAUGAUCAUGUACCUGACAAUACGCUUGAUCUCAGGAAGAUGCUUGUACCGAUUCUUCACCGCCUCAUUGUACUCAUGCUUCUUCUGCUCCCUUGGAAGAAUCUGCAACCACCAAUCAACAUAUGAGAAUUUGCCAUUUUCAUUUUGUUUAAAAGAAGCUUAAUGCUAUAUAACAUUAAAAAAGGCACAGAUUCUUACAACUCCUAGUUGCUCUGAUGCUUUGGCCUUCCAUAGCCUGAGAUUAGUGUCAUCACUGCCGGAUAUAACAUAGGUAGCAUCACUGCUAUACUUGACACAGAAUACUCUACAAGAGACAAGUAAGUAAACAAACGCAUUAAUAUAUUAAAAACGUUUACAAUUAAGUUUCACCAGGGUACCUCUGCAUCCUCUUCGUAUGGUAGAUUUCCCUGCUGUGUCCUCCAUUGUAUGGGAAGAUUCUCACGGAUCGAUCAUAAGAACCGGUAACGAACUCACGACCAGUUGGUGAAAAAUCAAUAUCCAUCCUGGAAAAGAUGAUUAAAAUUGAUAAAUCAUAAUGCAUUAUGAUAAUCACACGUUGAAUACUUGACCGGGGGUUUUAUCAUUCUUACACAGCAGAAACAUGAUCUUUAUGCACGCACUUGGCUUCUUCAUUCUUUCUACCAUCAAAGCUAUAGCAGUUGCCAUCUUCAUUUGCCUAUUCAGUUUCAUCAAUUAAGACAUAAGCCAAGGACAAAUGCUUAGAGAAAUUUUCGUUCUAUGAUCAUCACUUACAGCUGUGAAGUUCAUAGGCUCCAUAGGGUUCCAUGCGAUUGAAUUUGUUUUGGUCUGCCAAAGGAGAAGCAAUUUUUUAAGUUUGAAGAGUAAAAAAAGGAAACAGGGCGGCCAAAGAAGCGGCAAGUGUUUCAAUAAAAAGUGUCCUUUCCAGGUUAUACGACAACUGCAGCAAAGACGUUAAAAAGACCCUUUUGCCCCUGGGUCACGGUGAUCCGUCCGUCUACCCUUGCUUCAAGACUUCCGUUGAUGCUGAGGAAGCCGUUGCUGAGUCCCUACGAUCUGGCGCCGCCAACUCCUACGCCCCCGGGGUUGGUAUUUUACCGGCCAGGAGGUACUUAAGUAGUCACUAAUUGUUAUGUUAUGCAUAUGCUUCAUUUUAAAAACUUUAGUGGCUUAGAAAUAGUUAUCUCGUUAUUGGUCGGUUGGUCGGGUAAUAGAGCAAAGAAAACAUGCUAAUAGAAACAUUUUCAAAACUAAAUUAAUGUGGUAAAAAAUCUAUCGAUUAGAAAAAUAGUGUGAAGUGUAAAAUGUCAAUGAAGAACGACUUGAAAUUAUAUAUGAAGUCUUAUAUACGAUUCAAAAGCUUUAUGACUUUAUGAGAUAUUACACUUUUAUGAGGUAUUACACUAUGCAUGCUAUGCAUUUUCGAAACUAUACAUAACCUUUACAGCUAUUUUUAUACUACUAUUAAUUUAGGGCGGUGGCAAAUUAUUUGAACCGGGACCUUCCGCAUGAAUUAAAAUCAGACGAUAUAUUUAUGACGGUCGGGUGUUGCCAAGGGAUAGAGACCAUAAUUCAUGUUCUGUCCUGUCCCAAGUCGAAUAUCUUGCUCCCCAGUCUUAUCUAUCCUCUCUACUAUAGUCACGCUAUAUAUAGCCAAGUCGAGAUUCGCAAAUAUGAUCUCCUCCCUGACCAAGACUGGGAGAUCGAUCUCCAAGGCAUUGAAGUCAUUGCAGAUGAUAACACAAUCGCUAUGGUGAUAGCUAACCCUCACAACCCAUGUGGAAAUGUGUACACAUAUCAGCAUCUAAAGAAGGUGAAAUUGUAUACCUUUAAGUUAAUAUUCUUUUUAACUUCACUCUUUUUCUUUGUCAACCGCCCAUUUGGCUAACCAUAUUUUUGCCAAUUUCACUAUUAUUUAUGUUACAUUUUUAUAUGUAUGUAUGAGGGUCGGCUUACUAUGAAAGCCAACACAUAUGGACCUCCCCGGUCCAACUCUAAUUAAGUACAAUCAUUUUAAGCCCCUUAUAUUUUACAACAUAUAUUAUAUCAGAUUUAGAUUUAACCACAUCCUGUUACCAGUUAUUACAUUACAUGUCUUUGUUCAAAACACUAACUGAUAAUUAUUUUAAAGUUUUCAGAUUUUUUUUAUAAUAUUUUUGAAAAGUUAAUUAUAGGAGCUUUAAAAAGUUACCCAAGAACCCCUAAUAAUAUUUGAGCUGUCCUGUAGGUGGCUGAGAUGGCGAAGAAGCUAGGGAUAAUGGUUAUUUCUGAUGAAGUUUAUAAGCACACAAUAUAUGGAGAGAAUUCAUUUGUCCCGAUGGGGAUAUUCGCAUCGAUUGUUCCUGUGGUUACACUCGGAUCCGUUUCCAAGGGGUGGCUCGUCCCUGGCUGGAGAAUAGGUUGGAUGGCGAUGCAUGAUCCAAAUAAUGUUUUCAAAGCCACUGGGGUAGGGUUUUCAGUUUUGGAUCAUCCUUUGAUACUUAUUUAAUAUAUCUUCCUCUUGGACGUGAUAUAAUAAACGUUGUAGAUAUGUGACAGUUUGAACAUGUAACCAUAUCUUUUUUGCCAUUAAGGUCGUUGAAUCCAUCAAGGACCUUCUUAACAUAAGUCCAGAUCCAUCGACAAUUCUACAGGUUUGUACUCUCAAAUUUAUAUUAGAAUACACGAAGAAAACACAUGCAAUGAGUUAAAGGUAAAAUGUAAAAGAACUAGUGUGUUUCUUUUUUGAAAAAUAAAGAACUAAUGUGCUAUAAUUGAUAGGUUGCACUUCCAAAUAUCUUGGAGAAGACAAAGAAAGAUUUCUUUGAUAAGAAAAACUUAACAUUUAGGCAAAAUGUAGACAUGAUGUUCGAUGCCCUCAAGGAGGUUCCUUGCCUCGUUUGCCCUAAGAAACCUGAGUCGUGUGCUUACUUAGUGGUACCAAUUUCUUUUUAUACGUACAUAUUUUUUUUCUCUAAACAUUCUGAAUAAUCUUUAUAAGUAUAUACUAUAAUAUGCAAGCUCGCUGAUACUAUUUCCCUAAUCAUUUAAUCUUUUAAGGUUCUUAGCACACUUUUAUAAUUUUGAUAUUACUUUUUGUAACCAAAAUAUCAGUAUUAUUAUGAAUGGUACAUGUUCAUCAGAUCCUAUGUAAAAAAGUGUCACUACUCACUCACUAGUGACAAUCUAAUUUGUAUAUAUGGCAGACAAAAUUGGACCUAUCACUAUUGGAGGACAUCACAGACGAUGUUGAUUUCUGCAUGAAGCUGGCCCGAGAGGAGAAUCUCGUCCUUUUACCAGGUAAGCAUCACAAUUCACGUCAUCUAAGAUUUUGAAGUAAUUAUAAUGUUUUUUUUUUUUGAACAUGUAAUUAUAAUGUUUUUUAAUAAGAAGAAAUUAAAUCAUGAGAGAGAUGAGCUGAUCUGGAAUCUAAAUGCAGGAGAGGCAUUAGGCAAGAAGAAUUGGGUGAGAAUCUCGAUAGGAGUAGAGAGAUCAAUGCUAGAAGACGCUUUCGCGAGGCUCAAAAGCUUCGUCGCUCGCCAUGUCAAAUCACAAACCACAUAAGAUCAGCUUCAUUGUCGGAAACCUGAGACCCUAUCUUUCUACUGUUUUUGUAUUUCUCUAUUAAAUAAUUUCUCAAUAAAGAUUGAGACUUUGGAUUAUUGUCUGUGUGUGUGUGUGGGCGCGUAUGUGUAAGCAGCUAUGCUUGUCCAGUUCUCCGUUAGAAUGUC